GAACAUAUCUGAGAGUAACUGUUCAGGUAUUGACGGUAUUUAACCAGAAAGCCACGGCUAACUACGUGCCAGCAGCCGCGGUAAUACGUAGGUGGCAAGCGUUGUCCGGAUUUAUUGGGCGUAAAGCGAGCGCAGGCGGUUUUUUAAGUCUGAUGUGAAAGCCUUCGGCUCAACCGAAGAAGUGCAUCGGAAACUGGGAAACUUGAGUGCAGAAGAGGACAGUGGAACUCCAUGUGUAGCGGUGAAAUGCGUAGAUAUAUGGAAGAACACCAGUGGCGAAGGCGGCUGUCUGGUCUGUAACUGACGCUGAGGCUCGAAAGUAUGGGUAGCAAACAGGAUUAGAUACCCUGGUAGUCCAUACCGUAAACGAUGAAUGCUAAGUGUUGGAGGGUUUCCGCCCUUCAGUGCUGCAGCUAACGCAUUAAGCAUUCCGCCUGGGGAGUACGGCCGCAAGGCUGAAACUCAAAGGAAUUGACGGGGGCCCGCACAAGCGGUGGAGCAUGUGGUUUAAUUCGAAGCUACGCGAAGAACCUUACCAGGUCUUGACAUACUAUGCAAAUCUAAGAGAUUAGACGUUCCCUUCGGGGA
RNAcentral lists this ribosomal RNA (588 nucleotides) under Lactiplantibacillus plantarum. RNAcentral describes it as "bacterial SSU rRNA". It matches the Rfam family "Bacterial small subunit ribosomal RNA", at positions 447 to 1026 of the family's 1533-position model. The record is from RNAcentral. Lineage: Bacteria; Bacillati; Bacillota; Bacilli; Lactobacillales; Lactobacillaceae.